GAUGAACGCUGGCGGCGUGCCUAAUACAUGCAAGUCGAGCGAACGGACGAGAAGCUUGCUUCUCUGAUGUUAGCGGCGGACGGGUGAGUAACACGUGGAUAACCUACCUAUAAGACUGGGAUAACUUCGGGAAACCGGAGCUAAUACCGGAUAAUAUUUUGAACCGCAUGGUUCAAAAGUGAAAGACGGUCUUGCUGUCACUUAUAGAUGGAUCCGCGCUGCAUUAGCUAGUUGGUAAGGUAACGGCUUACCAAGGCAACGAUGCAUAGCCGACCUGAGAGGGUGAUCGGCCACACGGGAACUGAGACACGGUCCAGACUCCUACGGGAGGCAGCAGUAGGGAAUCUUCCGCGAUGGGCGAAAGCCUGACGGAGCAACGCCGCGUGAGUGAUGAAGGUCUUCGGAUCGUAAAACUCUGUUAUUAGGGAAGAACAUAUGUGUAAGUAACUGUGCACAUCUUGACGGUACCUAAUCAGAAAGCCACGGCUAACUACGUG
RNAcentral lists this ribosomal RNA (497 nucleotides) under uncultured bacterium. RNAcentral describes it as "partial 16S ribosomal RNA". It matches the Rfam family "Bacterial small subunit ribosomal RNA", at positions 28 to 507 of the family's 1533-position model. The record is from RNAcentral.